GGGGGCGAUCGGCUUCGACCGAAUGUUGAUCCGUCCUGAUGUGGCGCGCCGAGGGCCAGGCACCUCGUAAAUCCGACUGGAAAACCUCAAGUGCCAACACGCACUACUCCCUCGCUGCCUAAAUAACAGGCGCGACGCUGCGGUCCCUUCGCCUGCGGGGGGCCAAAGCGACACACAGCAGGCUGGUCACGCGAUGGCUGCUCGGCCCAUCCGUGACGAGAUCCAGUCGAGCUGGUCCGCGACGAUCCUGUUCGUCGGAGCUUCGCGGGUGACACCAAACGACGGACUACGCGCGUAGAAGCUCAGGUCGAGGCAUUCUGGGACGCGGGUUCGAUUCCCGCCGCCUCCACCA
This 352-nucleotide transfer-messenger RNA is filed under the name Planctomycetota. RNAcentral describes it as "GCA-2684655 sp011051855 Standard tmRNA". It matches the Rfam family "transfer-messenger RNA". Rfam says of the family: Bacterial tmRNA, also known as 10Sa RNA or SsrA, is named for its dual tRNA and mRNA-like properties. Its role is to liberate the mRNA from a stalled ribosome. To accomplish this part of the tmRNA is used as a reading frame that ends in a translation stop signal. Lineage: Bacteria; Pseudomonadati. The record is from RNAcentral. RNAcentral also lists the same sequence under 1 other name.